GGCACUGACGCCCGGCCUCGCUCGGGAGAAAACUGUCCCUCAGCCCUCGGAGGCCGCGGAAAGCGCUCCAGGGGCCCCAUGACGCCACUCCCACCGACUGUCUCCCUAGAAAGAUGGAAGGAGGCGGAAACCGAAACCGGUAGCACCUUUACCACUCACGUCUCAAGCAAUACCACGACUUUGUCCUGCUGCCUCUGAGCCACUACUACAGCCCUGCCAAGGUAGUGUUCUUCCUUACUAUGGGCAGAUCUACAGCCUCCGGGUAACUGGGGUGUGGACUCUGGGAAGGAGAAGCAGGAGGCAGCCGAGGAGCAGGUGCCCAAGCAGCAGCUGCUGCUUUCACCUUUGCCCUGAGCUCCGGUGCUGCCCAGCCCUGCCCGGCAGUAAUGACUCUGGCCUUUGGACUCUCAACUGCACUGAAAAAGAAGAAAGGAAGGGAGAGGGAUAGAGAGUUAGAAGCAUCGAUCAGCUGCCUCCUGCACACUCCCCAC
This is a long non-coding RNA of Eptesicus fuscus (big brown bat), 491 nucleotides long. RefSeq lists it as uncharacterized. The transcript is spliced from 4 exons. The record is from RefSeq and is a predicted model, not a curated record. Lineage: Eukaryota; Metazoa; Chordata; Mammalia; Chiroptera; Vespertilionidae.